CAGAGGGUGCAAGCGUUAAUCGGAAUUACUGGGCGUAAAGCGUGCGUAGUCGGUUAUUUAAGUCGGAUGUGAAAUCCCCGGGCUCAACCUGGGAAUUGCAUUCGAUACUGGAUAGCUAGAGUUCGGCAGAGGGAAGCGGAAUUUCGGGUGUAGCGGUGAAAUGCGUAGAUAUCCGAAGGAACAUCAGUGGCGAAAGCGGCUUCCUGGACCAGAACUGACGAUCAGGCACGAAAGCGUGGGGAGCAAACAGGAUUAGAUACCCUGGUAGUCCACGCCAUAAACGAUGACAACUAGACGUUGGGAGGGUAAGCCUCACAGUGUCGCAGCUAACGCGUUAAGUUGUCCGCCUGGGGAGUACGGCCGCAAGGUUG
RNAcentral lists this ribosomal RNA (371 nucleotides) under uncultured organism. Its description in RNAcentral is "bacterial SSU rRNA". It matches the Rfam family "Bacterial small subunit ribosomal RNA", at positions 526 to 896 of the family's 1533-position model. The record is from RNAcentral.